RNAcentral lists this ribosomal RNA (800 nucleotides) under Microbacterium sp. M060106-11. Its description in RNAcentral is "bacterial SSU rRNA". It matches the Rfam family "Bacterial small subunit ribosomal RNA", at positions 22 to 836 of the family's 1533-position model. The record is from RNAcentral. Lineage: Bacteria; Bacillati; Actinomycetota; Actinomycetes; Micrococcales; Microbacteriaceae.
UUUGUGGACAGGGGGCCGGCCUUUAACUUGGCAUGUCGAACGAUGAAAGCCGGGGCUUGCUCUGGUGGAUUAGUGGCGAACGGGUGAGUAACACGUGAGCAACCUGCCCCUGACUCUGGGAUAAGCGCUGGAAACGGCGUCUAAUACUGGAUAUGUCCCGUCACCGCAUGGUGUGCGGGUGGAAAGAUUUUUCGGUUGGGGAUGGGCUCGCGGCCUAUCAGCUUGUUGGUGAGGUAAUGGCUCACCAAGGCGUCGACGGGUAGCCGGCCUGAGAGGGUGACCGGCCACACUGGGACUGAGACACGGCCCAGACUCCUACGGGAGGCAGCAGUGGGGAAUAUUGCACAAUGGGCGGAAGCCUGAUGCAGCAACGCCGCGUGAGGGAUGACGGCCUUCGGGUUGUAAACCUCUUUUAGCAGGGAAGAAGCGAGAGUGACGGUACCUGCAGAAAAAGCACCGGCUAACUACGUGCCAGCAGCCGCGGUAAUACGUAGGGUGCAAGCGUUAUCCGGAAUUAUUGGGCGUAAAGAGCUCGUAGGCGGUCUGUCGCGUCUGCUGUGAAAUCCCGAGGCUCAACCUCGGGCUUGCAGUGGGUACGGGCAGACUAGAGUGCGGUAGGGGAGAUUGGAAUUCCUGGUGUAGCGGUGGAAUGCGCAGAUAUCAGGAGGAACACCGAUGGCGAAGGCAGAUCUCUGGGCCGUAACUGACGCUGAGGAGCGAAAGGGUGGGGAGCAAACAGGCUUAGAUACCCUGGUAGUCCACCCCGUAAACGUUGGGAACUAGUUGUGGGGUCCUUUCCA